UUAAGCGACUAAGCGUACACGGUGGAUGCCUAGGCAGUCAGAGGCGAUGAAGGGCGUGCUAAUCUGCGAAAAGCGUCGGUAAGCUGAUAUGAAGCGUUAUAACCGACGAUACCCGAAUGGGGAAACCCAGUGCAAUACGUUGCACUAUCGUUAGAUGAAUACAUAGUCUAACGAGGCGAACCGGGGGAACUGAAACAUCUAAGUACCCCGAGGAAAAGAAAUCAACCGAGAUUCCCCCAGUAGCGGCGAGCGAACGGGGAGGAGCCCAGAGUCUGAAUCAGUUUGUGUGUUAGUGGAAGCGUCUGGAAAGUCGCACGGUACAGGGUGAUAGUCCCGUACACCAAAAUGCACAGGCUGUGAACUCGAUGAGUAGGGCGGGACACGUGACAUCCUGUCUGAAUAUGGGGGGACCAUCCUCCAAGGCUAAAUACUCCUGACUGACCGAUAGUGAACCAGUACCGUGAGGGAAAGGCGAAAAGAACCCCGGCGAGGGGAGUGAAAUAGAACCUGAAACCGUGUACGUACAAGCAGUGGGAGCACCUUCGUGGUGUGACUGCGUACCUUUUGUAUAAUGGGUCAGCGACUUAUAUUUUGUAGCAAGGUUAACCGAAUAGGGGAGCCGUAGGGAAACCGAGUCUUAACUGGGCGUCUAGUUGCAAGGUAUAGACCCGAAACCCGGUGAUCUAGCCAUGGGCAGGUUGAAGGUUGGGUAACACUAACUGGAGGACCGAACCGACUAAUGUUGAAAAAUUAGCGGAUGACUUGUGGCUGGGGGUGAAAGGCCAAUCAAACCGGGAGAUAGCUGGUUCUCCCCGAAAGCUAUUUAGGUAGCGCCUCGUGAACUCAUCUUCGGGGGUAGAGCACUGUUUCGGCUAGGGGGCCAUCCCGGCUUACCAAACCGAUGCAAACUCCGAAUACCGAAGAAUGUUAUCACGGGAGACACACGGCGGGUGCUAACGUCCGUCGUGAAGAGGGAAACAACCCAGACCGCCAGCUAAGGUCCCAAAGUCAUGGUUAAGUGGGAAACGAUGUGGGAAGGCACAGACAGCCAGGAUGUUGGCUUAGAAGCAGCCAUCAUUUAAAGAAAGCGUAAUAGCUCACUGGUCGAGUCGGCCUGCGCGGAAGAUGUAACGGGGCUAAACCAUGCACCGAAGCUGCGGCAGCGACGUUUAGGCGUUGUUGGGUAGGGGAGCGUUCUGUAAGCCGUUGAAGGUGACCUGUGAGGGUUGCUGGAGGUAUCAGAAGUGCGAAUGCUGACAUAAGUAACGAUAAUACUGGUGAAAAACCCGCACGCCGGAAGACCAAGGGUUCCUGUCCAACGUUAAUCGGGGCAGGGUGAGUCGACCCCUAAGGCGAGGCUGAAAAGCGUAGUCGAUGGGAAACAGGUUAAUAUUCCUGUACUUGGUGUUACUGCGAAGGGGGGACGGAGAAGGCUAGGCUGGCCGGGCGACGGUUGUCCCGGUUUAAGCGUGUAGGGGGAGUGACCAGGUAAAUCCGGUUGCUUAUCACCCCUGAGGCGUGAUGACGAUGCACUACGGUGCAGAAGCAGUUGAUGCCAUGCUUCCAGGAAAAGCCUCUAAGCAUCAGGUAACAUUAAAUCGUACCCCAAACCGACACAGGUGGUCAGGUAGAGAAUACUCAGGCGCUUGAGAGAACUCGGGUGAAGGAACUAGGCAAAAUGGUGCCGUAACUUCGGGAGAAGGCACGCUGGCGUUAGGUGAAAGGACUAGCUCCUGGAGCUGAAGCCAGUCGCAGAUACCAGCUGGCUGCAACUGUUUAAUAAAAACACAGCACUGUGCAAACACGAAAGUGGACGUAUACGGUGUGACGCCUGCCCGGUGCUGGAAGGUUAAUUGAUGGGGUCAGCCGCAAGGCGAAGCUCUUGAUCGAAGCCCCAGUAAACGGCGGCCGUAACUAUAACGGUCCUAAGGUAGCGAAAUUCCUUGUCGGGUAAGUUCCGACCUGCACGAAUGGCGUAAUGAUGGCCAGGCUGUCUCCACCCGAGACUCAGUGAAAUUGAACUCGCUGUGAAGAUGCAGUGUACCCGCGGCAAGACGGAAAGACCCCGUGAACCUUUACUAUAGCUUGACACUGAACAUUGAGCCUUGAUGUGUAGGAUAGGUGGGAGGCCUUGAAGUGUGGACGCCAGUCUGCAUGGAGCCAACCUUGAAAUACCACCCUUUAAUGUUUGAUGUUCUAACUCGGCCCCAUGAUCUGGGGUGAGGACAGUGUCUGGUGGGUAGUUUGACUGGGGCGGUCUCCUCCCAAAGAGUAACGGAGGAGCACGAAGGUUAGCUAAUCACGGUCGGACAUCGUGAGGUUAGUGCAAAGGCAUAAGCUAGCUUGACUGCGAGAGUGACGGCUCGAGCAGGUACGAAAGUAGGUCUUAGUGAUCCGGUGGUUCUGAAUGGAAGGGCCAUCGCUCAACGGAUAAAAGGUACUCCGGGGAUAACAGGCUGAUACCGCCCAAGAGUUCAUAUCGACGGCGGUGUUUGGCACCUCGAUGUCGGCUCAUCACAUCCUGGGGCUGAAGUAGGUCCCAAGGGUAUGGCUGUUCGCCAUUUAAAGUGGUACGCGAGCUGGGUUUAGAACGUCGUGAGACAGUUCGGUCCCUAUCUGCCGUGGGCGUUGGAAGAUUGAGAGGGGCUGCUCCUAGUACGAGAGGACCGGAGUGGACGAAUCACUGGUGUUCGGGUUGUCAUGCCAAUGGCAUUGCCCGGUAGCUAAAUUCGGAAGAGAUAACCGCUGAAAGCAUCUAAGCGGGAAACUUGCCUCGAGAUGAGUCUUCCCUGGGGCUUAAAGCCCCCUGAAGGAACGUUAAAGACUAUGACGUUGAUAGGCUGGGUGUGUAAGUGCAGCGAUGUAUUGAGCUAACCAGUACUAAUGAUCCGUGAGGCUUAACCUU
Molecule: ribosomal RNA, 2905 nt
Filed under: Yersinia pseudotuberculosis
Lineage: Bacteria; Pseudomonadati; Pseudomonadota; Gammaproteobacteria; Enterobacterales; Yersiniaceae
Description: bacterial LSU rRNA
Rfam family: Bacterial large subunit ribosomal RNA
Source: RNAcentral